AUUGAACGCUGGCGGCAGGCCUAACACAUGCAAGUCGAACGGAGUGGCGGACGGGUGAGUCAUGUCUGGGAAACUGCCUGAUGGAGGGGGAUAACUACUGGAAACGGGCGCUAAUACCGCAUACUAUCAGAUGAGCCUAGGUCGGAUUAGCUAGUUGGUGGGGUAAAGGCCUACCAAGGCGACGAUCCGUAAAUGGUCUGAGAGGAUGAUCAUGCACACGGGAACGUAGACACGGUCCAGACUCCUACGGGAGGCAGCAGUGGGGAAUAUUGGACAAUGGGCGAAAGCCUGAUCCAGCCAUGCCGCGUGUGUGAAGAAGGUCUUCGGAUUGUAAAGCACUUUAAGUUGGGAGGCGUUACCAACAGAAUAAGCACCGGCUAACUUCGUGCCAGCAGCCGCGGUAAUUC
RNAcentral lists this ribosomal RNA (407 nucleotides) under uncultured bacterium. Its description in RNAcentral is "partial 16S ribosomal RNA". It matches the Rfam family "Bacterial small subunit ribosomal RNA", at positions 30 to 526 of the family's 1533-position model. The record is from RNAcentral.